UUGGAGCUCUGCUGUUGGGGUCUCCCGUCAGUUGUUAUCGGAACGUUGGCGCUGUCUCGUUGGAGCUUUAGACGGACGCGGACGCGCACGGUUGUCUUUUGCCUUUUGCGGAAAUAAUUCAGAGAGAAAAUCCACCACAAACACAAAAACAAACGCAAUUAAACAAUUAAGAAAUAUAAAAAAUUUAUAACUGAAAUAAAACUGAAAUUAUACAAAAAUUUCCAUAAAAUCCUCCGUACAGCGACAGGAGAGUUGGAGUGGACAAUUCCCAGAAGAUAUGUUUUAACCAUUGGACGCAGACCUGAAGACAAAUGAUUGAUUCGAGGUAUACUCUCCACUGUAAUCAACACAAAUUGGUUACGGUGUAGGACCCAUUUUGGAGGGCGGUGACAAUGAUCCAUCGGAGCCAAUUACCUAUCAUUUGCAUAUGAUUUAUAGCCCCCUUGACAAAAACCGAUUGAAUUUGCAUACGAUUGAAGUGCUACACACAUGAAUUUUGGUUGCUGGAGGUGGAGCCGAAGCUGAAGCUGA
Long non-coding RNA from Drosophila obscura, 531 nucleotides. RefSeq lists it as uncharacterized. The transcript is spliced from 5 exons. NCBI's taxonomy places the organism in Eukaryota, Metazoa, Arthropoda, Insecta, Diptera, Drosophilidae. The record is from RefSeq and is a predicted model, not a curated record.